GACGAACGCUGGCGGCGUGCUUAACACAUGCAAGUCGAACGGAAAGGCCUCUUUCGGGUGGUACUCUAGUGGCGAACGGGGGAGUAACACGCGAGUAACCUCCCCUCUACUUUGUGAUAACUUCAGAGAACUGGGGCUAAUACCCGAUAGGAGCUCCUGCUGCGCGGUGGGGGUUGGGAAGUUUCUGGGGGUGGGGAGAGGCUCGCGGCUCAUCAGGUUGUUUGUGGGGUAUUGGCUUACCAAGGCUUUGUCGGGUAUCCGGCCUGAGAGGGUGACCGGCCCCCUUGGGGCUGAGAUAAGGCCCAGACUCCUACGGGAGGCAGGAGUGGGGAAUAUUGCACAAUGGGUGGAAGCCUGAUGCAGCAACGCCGGGUGCGGGAAGACGGGCUUCGGGUUGUAAACCGCUUUCGCUCAUGACGAAGCUGUGUGUGACGGUAGUGGGUAAAGAAGCACCGGCUAACUACGUG
RNAcentral lists this ribosomal RNA (467 nucleotides) under uncultured bacterium. RNAcentral describes it as "partial 16S ribosomal RNA". It matches the Rfam family "Bacterial small subunit ribosomal RNA", at positions 28 to 507 of the family's 1533-position model. The record is from RNAcentral.